This is a long non-coding RNA of Alligator mississippiensis (American alligator), 5211 nucleotides long. RefSeq lists it as uncharacterized. The record is from RefSeq and is a predicted model, not a curated record. Lineage: Eukaryota; Metazoa; Chordata; Crocodylia; Alligatoridae. The transcript has 2 exons.
UUGCACGGGCACUUAUUGCAAACCGGGGGGAGGAAAAAAAAAAAAAGAAGAAGAAACAGACUGCAUCGCUGCUUUGCUGCCCCCCUCCCCAAUCUCCCUUUGAAGUUAGCAAUGGGAUCAGCAAGCACUAAUUGGACCCCUAAUUUCCGAGCAUUUGAGAGAGCAAGAUCCGCGCCAGUCAAGCGAAGACCAGAUUAAUCCGAAUGAAAGUCGUGCCCACCCCCCGGGAGCCCGUGUGCCUGGUGCGGGGUGGGCUGGGCUCCCCGCGGGGCUGGCUCCGCUCCGCUCCGCUCGCCGCGUACACACGUGCUCCGCGUUCCCGCACUGACACGUUCCCGCUGGGGAAGCCGAGCGGGUCGCGGAGGGUCCCAGUGUUUCAGAACCCUGGAAAGAAAUACUGUAAAGAUAAAUGGAAACAAGAGACCCACUUCUGACGCAUAAGUAUCUCAUUCGUGAAGGUAAAUAUAUUCCUGGCUUUAAUUAGAAGAUGCGGUAUUCAUAUUUAUGGAGAUAUAUCUGGAGCAGGUGAGGGGAGUCACAGCGGUGCCAUUUGUAUUUAAGUAAACUAACCUAUUCAUUCUUUACGAGUCAUGCUAUGAACAAAACUGGAUUUUGUCUUAGCUUCUCAGGCUGCCGCACAGGGUGAGUGUUUAAAUUUCUUCCUUAAAAUGGAAACUGGGGUUUUUGGAAGGUCAGGAGACGUGUAGUCCUCAUACAGCUUACUGUAAUAAAUCUUAACCCAAAGGUGCAUUUUAUUUGACGUCUUUCUACUAGUCUUUACUUGGGGCUAAACCUUGCCCCCAGGCUCAUCUCAAAACCAACUCCAUGGGUUUGGUACUCUAGUUUCAGAGAGUUUCACAGUUGGGAUGGACAAAGUAAUUGCAGAUCUCAGCAAUAGAGCUCUAUAUUAUUCAGAGCGAGGUGAGAAAUGAUAGUCAAUUCUCUUGAGUUUUCACAAUGAAAAUAAUACAAUAUCUUUUUUGGGGGGGAGCUAAUCGGAAAAGAAUUGGUUUGGUCAAAAUGUUUCAGUUUAGUCAUUUUUGAACACUGCUUCAAGUGGGACCUUUUACAAUGUGUUACCUUUCUUCAGAAACAAUUAGCUAACAUUUUGAAAGAAAAAAGCUGAUUCAAACCAAUAAAAUAUAACUCUUCCUUUCAAAACAGGGUAUUUGUUACAAUUUUGAUUCCCCCCCCCCACCCCUAAAAUAAUAUCAACACAGAGGAUGCAUCCUAAAGAUGCCUUCCCCCAAAACCUUUUGUUUUCAGAUGAUUUUGACAUUUUUGAUUCACUAUUUCGCUGGUACAUUUUCAUCUGGAUUUAGUCCUGUUCUGUGUUAUUUCAUUUAAUACAAGGCUGAUCUUUUAAACAUCUGAGCAACUUUUAAUAGUGACUUAAGAAAUGUGACUGAUACAUGAUUUUUUUUUCUCUUUGUACUGAAUACAAUUGUGCAUUGAAUUAUCCAGGUAAUUUUAUUGACUAGUGGUGUGUCUUUUUAUCAGUGGAGAUAGGUCACAGGCCUUGUGACAGAAGGUGGGGAGAUUGGUGGUGGUCUCUCGUGGAAGUGUAAUACGGCUCCAACUGCAGCCUCAGGCUAGUAUAAUUCUCCCAUGGGGUGUGCCACCAGGGUGGUGAAAAGUCACUGGAUCUAGGUAAUCAUAUCUGCUUUUGUCCAAAUUGACCCUCCACUGGUCUUUCCCAAGCCCACUAAGUUUCCCCAUGGGUUAGGGCACAAUGAAUAACAGAGACUAACCCCCACAACGGUAGGAAGGGUGUGUGGUUGCUGCAUUGGCUCUAAUCCUUUACCCUACAUUGAGGCACAUGCAUUCAGAGCUAAACCAUAUUUCACAAAGACAAGAGCAUGCUAAAACAGGAUGAGUACAUCACAGAAGGAGAUGACUGAUAUAAUCUUCAGUAUCAGCCUCAAGAGAGAUUUGAUUUGAUUGUGGUUAAAGGGGAUGGAGAUGGGGAGGGGGUGUCUUUCUAUUCCCUUGGCUCCAAUACUGUGUGUUGAAAGGGUGGAAGGACACCUUGUGAAAGUGGAAGGGAGAAGAUGGGAAGAAAUCCAGUAAAGAGAAGAAAUAUUUUGUGCUAUUUUUUACAUGAGCUAAAUUCUACCCAGGGCCGACUGCGGUGGGUUCAGAGGCAUGGCUAAGAUGACAAUUUGAUCUGUGCUUUCAAAUACUUCAUGAAAUCAGUCCCUUUUUCAUAAAUGAGAUGCAUGGCAUUUUGGAUCUGUGGGGCACUCGUAGCCAGACAUAAAUUUACGCACCUUGGAUCUCACGGGAAAUGAGAGGAAUAAUCAAGACGAGAAUUUAGCGUGGACCUCAGUUCCCCUAAAUGUCUUGCAUGUUUGAGUCACCCUAAAGCACUUAAAAAAUGAAUCCCACAAGGCUGCGUGGUCUUGAAGAAGUGUCUUCAGACUGAGGUGAGGCCCUUGUGCCUUGGUGGAGAGGGCAGCCCUAUUUGCAAGAGAAAAAGCCUUUGAUUGAGAACUUGUCUGAGGUGAAGUAUUCCCAUUGCUGCUUUGUAGGCACUAGUAAGCUGGUGUGUGGAUACUCCACUGGUCUUUCCCAAAACCAAGUGUUGGGGUGUCCUUGCAGCACUCUGCACUUCCUUGGUGAGCAAUAGAUUCAUAGAUGUUGGGGUUGGAAGGGACCUGAUCAAGUCCGACCCCCUGCCCUGGGCAGGGAAGGGUGCUGGGGUCAGACAACCCCAGCCAGAUGCCUACCCAGCCUCCUCUUAAAGACCCCCAAGGUAGGGGAGAGCACCAAUUUCCUUGGAAGCCCAUUCCAGAUUUUGGCAACCCUUCCCAUAAAGAAGUUCUGCUCGUCUCUUCAGCUGGCCAUCCCAGAAGACAAGGUCCUUGUGGCUUUCCUUCCACCCAACAGCAUUGUGAUGUAAGGACCAAACAGCACCUGGCCCUUAAUUUUGUAACAAGUGGGAACAGCCAUCUCUGUCCCUGUCUCUGCUAUCAUGAGCUAACCCAGAGGGAAUCCCCAUCCUUGGAGGGUUUUAAGACCCAGCCUUGGCUGGGAUGGUCUAGCUGGGGAUGGUCCUGCUUUGAGCAAGCGGUUGGACUGCAUGACUUCUUGAGGUCCCUUCCCACCCUCGUUUUCUAUGAUUCUGUCAUCUAAAGACAAAGCUCAUGCAGACGAAGGGAGAGAAACACGAGCUUUGUCCUAAAUGUGCACGAUGAUGGAAGUGAUCCUCUUGGUCUCAUUCAGAAUUCAUUCCUCCUAGCAUCCAUCUUGGGUAAGUCUAUGAGACACACAGAAGAUGCACCAGCAAGCUCAGUAUUCAGCCUAAAACUCCUAUCCCUAGAGCAGCAUCAUGAUCGGUCUGAAAACGAACCUGAGCAGUUCAAAGGUAACACCUCCACGUUUACAUGUAGCGUGCUAUGGAGAGUCUUAGCGCAUCCGAGGUUAGACAUAACUUGAGCACACAAAGCCACGUCGCAGAGGUGCAGGGAAAUAGUGCACUUAACCUUCUGGCUCAAGGAGCAAUUCAUCUCUUUGUUCUGCUCUUUUGUAUCCAAACUGCACCUGGCCCUCUGAUUUUUUUUUUUUAAUUAUCAGGUAGCCUUAUAUAAAAAAAAAAAAAAAGCGCUAGACAGUUCAAGCCUGACCGUGUUAGAAACCAUCACCUUACAUUAAGGAAUGAAUUUACGUCUUUGUUCUGCUCUCGCACGGUAAUUGGAUGCUAAUAACCCAACGCAUGGUUUUGAUGCAGGAUGUUUAAGUUGUUUUUUGAUCAGCUGGAGCGGUAUGGCAGAAUUGCUGCUAGUUCCCUUUGCUGGCCUUGGCUACAUCCUUUUUCUCCCUGCCUCACUUCUCUAAGGCAGUGGUUUUCAGCCUUUGCAAACUCCAGGUAUCCCUCCAUACUUUGUGAAUUGAGUACCCAAGCCAAGCAAUAUAUAUUUAUUACAUAUUUAUUACCUACAUUGCUUAUCUCCUUGUAGACGAGCGAGGGAGGGAGAGCCUAAAUCUUCCUUUAUCUGCUUAUCUCUGCAUACUACCUGCAGCACCCUUCAAAAGACCUCAUGGCACCCCAGGGUGCCCUGACACCUUGGUUGAGAGUCACUACUCUAAGGGACUGAUCCUACCCCGUGUACCCAUGCCGAUUUACUCAUACAAGUAGUUCAGUUACCUUCACUUUCUUCUCACUUGGGUCUUGGGGCCACCUGAGUCUAGCAGCCCCUUGGACUAGUAUGUGCCAUGUAGCACACAAGGGGCUGCACCCCCUCCAGCCCCGUAAGACCAGGUGCCCGUCUUCAACCAGGAUGAUUAGGAGCAACCUUUAGCACAAGUCUGGAACAAGGUUUGAAGUCAUGCCUCUCUCUGCCAUGGUGCCUCCCACCGCAUGCUUACCCGUUUGCAGAUCAGGAGCAAGCACCCCGAAGUCAACGGUGUGACACUGGUUUCAUGGGUUGGAUGCGUCUACCUUGCAGUCCAAGUUGUGACUGCCCAGUGUUGACCCGGCAGACAUCGAAGCCUGUGCUGAGCCACGGUGUUUGCAAAGAUGCAGGCAUGCAACACAUUUAUGGACUCGACUGCCCAGUGACAGUGGAACAGGCACCCAAGGCACGGUCUCCUACAACGAACAGCCUUACACCAACAAAACAGUCACUUCACUCCAGGGGAAACGAGGAGGAACUUUACACUGGUGUAAUUACAGCCCGUGUCUUCUCCCCUAGCCAUUGCAUUCUGGGAUAGCAUCCUACCAUCGAGUAGCCAGGUGCUGCAAUAGCCCUUACUGCAGGCAGCCGUCAUGGGAAGAGUUGGUCGUGUCCACAUUUCCUACAGAGCAAAAUCCGUGGCACGUGGUUCUGCAAUAAGGUGUGUCACAUGCCUGCCCCCUAAGAGAAGUGAAGGAUUCUCCAUCUCUGAGAGGCUUCAAAUGAUGCUUUCAUGUCUAGUUGCUUUUGCCAAAUGCAAGUUAGUGGGCUCACUACAGGAGAAAGUGAGUGAAACUCUCUGGCCUGAAGUUGGAACAAUAACCGUUAAUUAAAUCUCAGGGUUUCUGCAACUUACAAGCCGGCAAUACAAACCACUUUUUCCUGAGCAAGAACUAAGACAUACAGGGCCAUAUGACUCAUCUUGUCAUCCUGUCUUUCAUGUCCACGGCCAUAAUCAUUGUAAUAAUAAGAGCUUGGCUGAAGAAUGGACAUUUCUGUAUGAAAUGUGGUUGUGUUUAAAACUUGUUUGUUUUCA